RNAcentral lists this long non-coding RNA (254 nucleotides) under Carica papaya (papaya). RNAcentral describes it as "long non-coding RNA (CPAP_LNC006664)". The record is from RNAcentral. Lineage: Eukaryota; Viridiplantae; Streptophyta; Magnoliopsida; Brassicales; Caricaceae.
UUCUUACGUUGCUGCAAGAAAGUGAUCUACCUAUCCUUUUAAAAAAUUGAAUGCAAAUCAAUCGAUGACAUUGAUAUAUAUACAUAAUCGGUAAACAAAUAAGAGAAAAAUAGAUCAGUUGUUAAGCACUAAAUCUCUUGUUCCAUCGAUGGGAUCAUGUAGAGGAUUUGUUGAGCACUAUUUCCCUCUUUUUUUAUUUCCUAUCCCUCUCCCAUUCUCAUCCUUUCAAUUUUCCACCUAUGUUUCUAGCAUUU